GAAACUCUAUUUCAAAACCCGUUUCCCUUCUAUCGAAGCUAUUGAUUCCUCCCCCUCUUCUUCUAGCUAUUGGAUUUUCCUCUCUCUUCGAAUUAGGUGAGAUGCAAAGCUUUCGAAACGAUGGUGAUGGUCAUCCGGCCUCUCAGCGCCAUUGUCCCGCUGGCAGUCCGUGUGGGGGACCUGACAGUGCCCGGAAGCUAACAAUGAAGGAUGCCCUAGACUAUCUGAGGGCAGCGAAGAAAAUAUUUCGAGAUAGAAGGGAGAAAUACGAUGAGCUUCUCCAACUCAUGAAAGAUUUCAAGGCCCAAAGGAUCAACACCACUUCUGUUGUAUGGAGGGUGAAAGUUUUAUUAAAAGGGUACCCAAAACUCAUCUUGGGUUUCAAUACCUUCUUGCCCAAAGGAUACGAGAUUACCCUUGAUAAUGAGACUCCGACAGAAAAGAUCGCGAUAACUUUUGUCAACCGAGUCAAGACUCGGUUCCAGCAUGAUGAGCAAGUUUACAUAUCGUUCUUAGAAAUUCUAAGUAUGCACGGAAAGGAGCGCAUCUCCAUUAGUGAUGUCUACGAAAAGGUAGCCUUGCUUUUUAAGGAACAUCAAGAUUUGCUAGAGGAUUUUGCAAGCAUCCUACCUGAGGCUGCUGGGGUGGAUCCCGUGCAGCAUGCUCCGGUCAGAAGAAAUUCAUCUGGAAAUUCAAUGCCUCUGGUAGAGAGGAGCUCGGCUAUGCCCAUGGUGAGGCAAGUUCAUGGUGAAGAGAAGGGGAGAGCUGUGAAUUACCUUGCUGAUCGCGAUCUAGGUGUUGAUGGUCCUACUCCAGAUGGUAAAGCAAUAAUGGAAGUUGACAAGGUCCAGAGGAAACACAAGCGGGAUGAUAAAGAUUUGGACUGUGACAGCAAAGAUUUAGAUAAUAUGCAGCAGUUCCCUCAAAAACGGAUGUCUGCUUGGAGGGGUGAUGAUUGCAUUGCUGAGCAACUACAAAGUGGGGAAGGAGCCGAAAUCUUUGGAAUGCAUCCCACUUCAGGCUUUUCCUUCAAUGAUAAAAGUGCCUUCAGAGGGACCAGAAAGGGUCUGAACAGUUGGACUGAACCGCCAACAAAAAUGGGUCAAGAAUCUCUUGGGAAUGGAGGAUGUUUGGCUACACAUGUGAGGGUAGAUGACAGGGGUCAGGAAAGGGAUUGUGAAAGAGAUGAUAGGGAGAAGGAUAGAGACAGUGAAAGGGAGAGAGAUACAGAGUGGAAGCAGUUUGACAAAAGUGUUGCCAAAGAUUCUGCACUUCCCAAACCAAUCUCAGAGCUUGACCUCUCGAACUGUCAGAGCUGGAACCCUAGUUAUCAUCUUCUUCCGGAGAAUCAUCCAAGGCCUACAACUACCCACCGGACAGAACUUGAGGCAUCUGUACUGAAUGACGAUUGGGUAUCAGUGACAACUGCAAGUGGUGAUUGUGGCAAAAAACAAUAUGAUGAAAUUCUAUUUAGAUUUGAAGAUGAUAGGUUUGAGCUGGACAUGCUGCUAGGGUCACUUAUUUCAACUAUCAAGCAUGUCGAAGAUUUAAAAGAAAAAAUUGAUAAUAUGAUCAAGCCAGACAGUCAAAUCCAUAUCAAGGACCACUUUACUGUUCUCAAUCUAAGAUGCAUCGAACGAUUAUAUGGUGGUCAUGGGCUGCAUCUGUUAGAUGUUGUACUACGUGAGAAGCCGUGUGCUGCAUUGCCUGUUAUAUUAACUCGCUUGAAGCAGAAACUAGAAGAGUGUUUAAGACGUCGUUCAGAUUUAAAUAAAAUGUGGGCUGAGGCUAGGCUAAGAAUUAUCCCAGAUCAGCUGACCACCAUAAUGUCUAUGUCAAGCAACAGGAUAGAAAGAGCUUAAGCACAAAAGGUUUUGAAAAGAAUUCUGCAUACUUUAUCAAAUUUCACCCACGAUUCAUCACCAUCAAUCAGAACUCUGUCUGGAUUGUACUUCCACACAAGCUCAUUGGCUAAGAUAACGGAAUCAGCGGGAAGAAAGGAAAAGAGGAUGAUGUGCUUCUUGCUAUAGCUGCUUGGCUGCUGGGCAGCAUCACAGAGAAACACACCUCAUGGCGGAGAAACAGAAGAUGUGGUAAAAGAUACAAAUCAGGCUGUACAUGUAAGUGCGGGCAGCAUAAGAUAAGUGACGGCUUUCCUGGUGUUGAUGUUACCAAGUCAAAUUCAAAGCAUCUACCCACAGUUACAAUGGCAGUGACAGCAUUCUAGCAGAAGCAGCUAGUUACUGUUAGUGUUACUGUAGUGUAAGGUUUGUUAAACAAGGAUCCUUACUCUUGCUCCGGUGGUAGACUCCCAGGAGUUUCAACACCCGGUCAAGGGUUCAAGUAUCCAUAGGUGGUGAAAUCCCACUACAACGUGAGUGUGUAGGGGUGUGUGCGCGUGUGUAUUAAAAAAAAAGGCUUGUUAAACAAGAUUGUUCUUAAGAUGUUGAUUGACUUGUACAUUGGAAUUAUGCCUUUUGUAGUGCCUUGUGGCAUGAAAGAAUGUGAAGAAUAGUGUUUUUCCAGCAGACGAGGUGUCAGGAGUCUGUGCAAGCUGCUUGUAACGAAUGGUUGAUGGAUUCUAAUGCCUAGAUUUUAGAGAAGAAGAAAGUCUGCCGCACCAAGUUAUUUAUUUA
Molecule: RNA transcript, 2636 nt
Organism: Magnolia sinica
Lineage: Eukaryota; Viridiplantae; Streptophyta; Magnoliopsida; Magnoliales; Magnoliaceae
Gene name: paired amphipathic helix protein Sin3-like 2
Exons: 13
Source: RefSeq, a predicted model, not a curated record